RNAcentral lists this ribosomal RNA (508 nucleotides) under uncultured bacterium. RNAcentral's name for it is "partial 16S ribosomal RNA". It matches the Rfam family "Bacterial small subunit ribosomal RNA", at positions 28 to 507 of the family's 1533-position model. The record is from RNAcentral.
GACGAACGCUGGCGGCGUGCCUAAUACAUGCAAGUCGAACGCUUCUUUCCUCCCGAGUGCUUGCACUCAAUUGGAAAGAGGAGUGGCGGACGGGUGAGUAACACGUGGGUAACCUACCCAUCAGAGGGGGAUAACACUUGGAAACAGGUGCUAAUACCGCAUAACAGUUUAUGCCGCAUGGCAUAAGAGUGAAAGGCGCUUUCGGGUGUCGUUGAUGGAUGGACCCGCGGUGCAUUAGCUAGUUGGUGAGGUAACGGCUCACCAAGGCCACGAUGCAUAGCCGACCUGAGAGGGUGAUCGGCCACACUGGGACUGAGACACGGCCCAGACUCCUACGGGAGGCAGCAGUAGGGAAUCUUCGGCAAAGGACGAAAGUCUGACCGAGCAACGCCGCGUGAGUGAAGAAGGUUUUCGGAUCGUAAAACUCCGUUGUUAGAGAAGAACAAGGACGUUAGUAACUGAACGUCCCCUGACGGUAUCUAACCAGAAAGCCACGGCUAACUACGUG